GUUGGUGAGGUAAUGGCUCACCAAGGCUAUGACGGCUACCGGCUCUUAGCGGAGAGUCCGGCACAAUGGGACUGAGACACGGCCCAUACUUCUACGGAAGGCAGCAGUUAGGAAUUUUGCGCAAUGGACGAAAGUCUGACGCAGCGACAUCGCGUGUGGGAUGACGGCCCUCGGGUUGUAAACCACUUUUUGGGAGUCAUGAAGGCGCCCAGAAUAAGGAACUACUAACUACGUGCCAGCAGUCGCGGUAAUACGUAGGUUCCGAGCGUUACCCGGAUUUAUUGGGCGUAAAGGGUCUGCAGGUGGUUUUCUAAGUCUUGUUUCAAAGUCCCCGACUUAAUCGGGGGAAGGGGCAGGAUACUGGAAGACUAGAGUUAUAUCGGGGUUACUGGAAUUUGUGGUGUAGGGGUAAAAUCCGUGGAUACCACAAAGAACACCAAGCGCGAAGGCGGGUAACUAGGUAUAUACUGACACUCAUAGACGAAAGCUAGGGUAGCCAAUCAGAUUAGAGACCUGAGUAGUCCUAGCCGUAAACAUUGUCUGUUAAUUUUCCCCCUUUUGGGAGGAGAUGCUAGCUAACGC
RNAcentral lists this ribosomal RNA (582 nucleotides) under uncultured bacterium. RNAcentral's name for it is "bacterial SSU rRNA". It matches the Rfam family "Bacterial small subunit ribosomal RNA", at positions 248 to 858 of the family's 1533-position model. The record is from RNAcentral.